Molecule: transfer RNA, 69 nt
Filed under: Salmo salar (Atlantic salmon)
Lineage: Eukaryota; Metazoa; Chordata; Actinopteri; Salmoniformes; Salmonidae
Rfam family: tRNA
About the family: Transfer RNA (tRNA) molecules are approximately 80 nucleotides in length. Their secondary structure includes four short double-helical elements and three loops (D, anti-codon, and T loops).
Source: Rfam by way of RNAcentral
CCCUGUAGCUCAGUUGGUAGAGCAUGGUGUUUGCAAUGCCAAGGGUUGUGGGUUAGAUUCCCACGAGGG